CUAAUCAAAUAAUUACAGUAUAUUUGCAGAUUCAUUAUCCAGAUACCUUUGUGUUUAACAUGUCUUCAUUUUUAAAAUGGUUUUGACAUAUUCUAUGAUACGACAUAUGACAAGGCGUGUUGCUCUACUGUCCUGCGUACAUAUAGACACAUCCGUUGGGCAACGAUCAUAUAUUUAAUAUCUUAAUCGUGGAGUGUUUAUCAACAAAUUUGAUUGAUUAAGACAACAGAUAAUUCUUUUAAGAUGCUGCUGGAUAGUUUUAACAACAUUAAACAUGAUUAUGAAGAAGGUAAUAAAUAUAUGUCACCACGCAAGAGUAGGGAGUUUAUUUUGAAAAAGUGAUAUAAUUUUUAUACCACCAUACUUCUAUAAGGGCUAAAAGAAUGUCCUCACGGGUCAUCAGGUCUGAAAGGGUUUUACCACCUUGGU
Molecule: non-coding RNA, 429 nt
Organism: Cinara cedri
Lineage: Eukaryota; Metazoa; Arthropoda; Insecta; Hemiptera; Aphididae
Source: the annotation of a GenBank genome assembly